This is a non-coding RNA of Characodon lateralis, 95 nucleotides long. The record is from the annotation of a GenBank genome assembly. NCBI's taxonomy places the organism in Eukaryota, Metazoa, Chordata, Actinopteri, Cyprinodontiformes, Goodeidae.
GCACUGGUGGUGUAGUGGUUAAGCGCACAACCAUGUGCAGAGGCUAUAGUCCUCGAUGUGGCCAUCCUGGGUUCGAGUCCUGGACCUGGUGACCU